This 473-nucleotide ribosomal RNA is filed under the name uncultured bacterium. RNAcentral's name for it is "bacterial SSU rRNA". It matches the Rfam family "Bacterial small subunit ribosomal RNA", at positions 355 to 825 of the family's 1533-position model. The record is from RNAcentral.
UCGAGAGGCUUUGGCAAUGGGGGAAACCCUGACCAAGCGACGCCACGUGGGGGAUGAAGGCUCUUGGGUUGUAAACCCCUUUUGUCGGGGAAGAAAUCCGAUCAGGUGAACAAUCUGGUCGAUUGACGGUACCCGACGAAUAAGCUCCGGCUAACUCCGUGCCAGCAGCCGCGGUAACACGGGGGGAGCAAGCGUUGUUCGGAAUCACUGGGCGUAAAGGGCGUGUAGGCGGCUCGGUAAGUGGAAUGUGAAAGCCCCCGGCUCAACCGGGGAACAGCAUCCGAUACUGGCGGGCUAGAGGAAGGCAGGGGUGAGUGGAACUCCAGGUGGAACGGUGAAAUGUGUAGAUAUCUGGAGGAACACCGGUGGCGAAAGCGGCUCACUGGGCCUUUCCUGACGCUGAGGUGCGAAAGCUAGGGUAGCAAACGGGAUUAGAUACCCGGGUAGUCCCUGAGCGGGCUGGCAAGGCGCAU